GAAGGUAUAGCUCAGUGGUGGAGCGUAUGCUUAGCAUGCAUGAGGUCUUGGGUUCAAGCCCCAGUACCUCCA
This 72-nucleotide transfer RNA is filed under the name Camelus bactrianus (Bactrian camel). It matches the Rfam family "tRNA". Rfam says of the family: Transfer RNA (tRNA) molecules are approximately 80 nucleotides in length. Their secondary structure includes four short double-helical elements and three loops (D, anti-codon, and T loops). RNAcentral also lists the same sequence under 2 other names. The record is from Rfam by way of RNAcentral. Lineage: Eukaryota; Metazoa; Chordata; Mammalia; Artiodactyla; Camelidae.